UACAUACUGUGCGAACGUUAUUCGGAUUUACUGGGCUUAAAGGGUGCGUAGGCGGCUUGUUAAGUAGGAUGUGAAAGCCCCCAGCUCAACUGGGGAAUUGCAUUCUAAACUGGCGAGCUAGAGUGAGAUAGGGGUGUGUGGAACUGCCAGUGGAGCGGUGAAAUGUGUUGAUAUUGGCAGGAACGCCGGUGGCGAAAGCGACACACUGGGUCUCAACUGACGCUGAGGCACGAAAGCCAGGGGAGCGAACGGGAUUAGAAACCCCGGUAGU
This 271-nucleotide ribosomal RNA is filed under the name uncultured bacterium. RNAcentral describes it as "partial 16S ribosomal RNA". It matches the Rfam family "Bacterial small subunit ribosomal RNA", at positions 524 to 794 of the family's 1533-position model. The record is from RNAcentral.